AUCUGCACCAAAAAAAAAAUAUAUAUUGUAAACUUCCUCUACAAGUAUUUCCAGGCCUACCAUCCAAACAAGAAAAUGAUAUUGAAAGAUUUUAGUUUUCACUAAAAAAAACGUAGUUGCAUGCAAGGGUCCAAUUAAAGUAGUAAAUGGUAACCAAUCAAUCAAACCCUUGAAAAAUAAAAAUAGCAAUCAACUAAACACCUCAACAGAACAAAAUGUAUCCCCAUUCAAACAAAGCAACCACACUUCUCCAAACUGGACUCAUAAAUGCAAUCACCAGCAGAAGGAAGUGGAGAACCCUGAAAACAAUAUCUUGGAAAAUGCUUGAUUCAUAAUCCAGUGAUGACAUCCAACAGGCACCAAUUAACAGAUGGCAACUAUGUAAACAUAUAUGUCCAUUCAACGGGCUGAGGACGUGAUUAGACAAAACAAUAUUAAGUCCCUAUUGACUCCAAGUUCGCAGUUGUACUUGAUAGAAAACAAAAAAUUUCUGCUGAGGUUUGCUGCUUGUGAUAACUGGUGAGAGUCGCAUGACUCAGUGACGAAUCAGCAUUUCCCAGACAAUCAAAAUGAACACGGCUAGACCAAAAAGUACAUUAACAAUACAUACUGAUAGGGAAUGUGAUCUGUUGAUUGAUGGAGUAGUAUCUGGGCAAAUGGAAGAAACCUCCCAGUCAUUGAAAGAUGAUCCAGUUGGUCUGAGAUUCCAAUAUGGCUUUGCAGGUUCCUUGCUUUUCAUGUACCUGCAGCUUAUAUUGCUUACAGUAGAAACUGUGCUGGACUUAAUCGCUGGAGGACUAUAGCAUGUAGCCAGACCCAUAGAUCGCCCAUACGAGCAAUAUUCCCAAUCUUCCAAAGGAUGUUUUGGAUCCUCAGGCUCAAGUUUUUUCCUCACCUUGUCUAUAGAUUCUCUGCUUGAAAAAAGUGGGAUGGGUCCCUCCCCUACCCCAAAAAUAGGCUCGUCUCCUUGUGCUGAACCCCUCCCUGAUACAAAAGUUCUCAUAUGCUGGUAUUCUUCCGAUCUGGCAGCUUCAUCAUUCAAGUUUGAGGUUUUCAUUUUUUGGGAAGACUCACUUGGGCCAGAUUGAUACUCAAUUAACUCAACGAGAUUUACAUCUUUUUCAGUGAAGUAUUUGUCCAGAGAAAGACAUGAAUCUGCGAACUUUACAGGAUCCUCAUCAUCGUUGCUACUAUCAAGCAAAUCCAACCCCUCAGGUUGAUUAUCAAAGCAACUGGUCAGUGGCAAAUGCCGGUCAGAAACACGCUGAUGUGAGUGAAUCUGUGACUUCAGUCGUCCUGGAAUCAUCCCAGUAGGGCAGAUAUGGGAUUGCUGAACUUGCUCUGAAUCUGUCUGAACUCGCUGAUUAUCAACCUCAGCAUCCAUAGGUUGAAUUGGUUCACCUUCAUCCUGGAGUGAAUGAUCAAUCGUCUCAUCUGCUUUAUGCUUUAAUUUACAGAGAACAAAAUGCAUCUGGUGGGGAAGGAUGUUUGUAGAUUGGUACUCAUGUAUGACCCAACUGGUCCUGAGUGGCUUAGAAUCACUGACUUUCUUGUAGAACACCAAACUCCUCUUGUUACCAAUCUCCCUACCUGUCUCCUCAGCUUUGAUAUGGCGUAUCUUUCCUGUGACUUUCCAGAAUCCAGCCCUCGUUGUUCUGUUGGCUCGUUUACUAUUAGAAUACUUGUAAUCAGGGCGACUGAAAAAAUACCAAGCUUGAUCAUUUGAUGAUAUUAAGCAACGGUCAGGUAUAUCCCAUGGCUCGCACUGGCAGAGAUCAAUCUCGCCAACAAUAUGAUUAACAAGGGAAUCCUUGCCAUUCAUUUUGUGCUUAAGGUAAUAGCCAACGAUUUCUUCAUCAGUUGGAUGGAAUCUGAACCCAACUUUAGGAGAAGGAAAUCUCUCUUCAUGAAGGGGAUCUGACAGAAAAUGGGUAUCCAAAUGUGCGUCCAUUGUGAACCCGCAGCUUGACUCUUGCACCCUUUAAGUCUUUAAACCACCCAGUUUGAAAAGCUUGAGCUAGCUAAUUUCCUCGUGAAGAGAAGGAGCCUGUGUGAAAGUGAAGAAUGGAAAGAAAGCAGAGAAACUAGCACAAAGAAGGGGAAUAGAAAAAUUUAUCCCUAGUUGGGUAACAAAAAUCUCACCCAACAAGAACCAGAUUUCUUCGUCCCUCUUCGGAGAAUUCAUUCAAGUUUCAUGGUUUUCCUCUGCAUCUUCACCGAGGAGUCGUCAGAGAAGCAAAGUGGAAGGUGCUAUGACAUUAAGGUGGGAAUAUAAAUGGUUGAAUGACAUCAACAAGACGAGGUUCUUCUCUCUUUCCUAAUCAAAGUUUCUACUUACAUGAGAAGUUAGCUAAAAGAAAGACCACUGGAGUCAGAAAUCCUCAUCGGCCCAUGGAAUGAGUGGGUCCCUCCAUGUCGGAAAUUCUCAACUGUCCGUACAUAUUUGUUUUUUAG
This 2454-nucleotide unclassified non-coding RNA is filed under the name Hevea brasiliensis (rubber tree). The record is from RNAcentral. Lineage: Eukaryota; Viridiplantae; Streptophyta; Magnoliopsida; Malpighiales; Euphorbiaceae.